Molecule: small RNA, 82 nt
Filed under: Neotamlana nanhaiensis
Lineage: Bacteria; Pseudomonadati; Bacteroidota; Flavobacteriia; Flavobacteriales; Flavobacteriaceae
Description: Tamlana nanhaiensis Flavo-1 RNA
Rfam family: Flavo-1 RNA
Source: Rfam by way of RNAcentral
UACUUGCAUUAGGGAUUGCAGCGGAUAGCUUUUGGCGAGGCGCACAUCGAGCCAAAACUACUAGCGGAAAGCCCGACCCUUU